Molecule: ribosomal RNA, 498 nt
Filed under: uncultured Anoxybacillus sp.
Lineage: Bacteria; Bacillati; Bacillota; Bacilli; Caryophanales; Anoxybacillaceae
Description: bacterial SSU rRNA
Rfam family: Bacterial small subunit ribosomal RNA
Source: RNAcentral
GGACGAACGCUGGCGGCGUGCCUAAUACAUGCAAGUCGAGCGGACGAAUCGAAAGCUUGCUUUUGAUCGUUAGCGGCGGACGGGUGAGUAACACGUGGGCAACCUGCCCUGUAGACGGGGAUAACACCGAGAAAUCGGUGCUAAUACCGGAUAACACGAAAUGUCGCAUGACGUUUCGUUGAAAGACGGCGCAAGCUGUCGCUACAGGAUGGGCCCGCGGCGCAUUAGCUAGUUGGUGAGGUAACGGCUCACCAAGGCGACGAUGCGUAGCCGACCUGAGAGGGUGAUCGGCCACACUGGGACUGGGACACGGCCCAGACUCCUACGGGAGGCAGCAGUAGGGAAUCUUCCGCAAUGGACGAAAGUCUGACGGAGCAACGCCGCGUGAGCGAAGAAGGCCUUCGGGUCGUAAAGCUCUGUUGUUAGGGAAGAACAAGUAACGCAGUAACUGGCGUUACCGUGACGGUACCUAACGAGAAAGCCACGGCUAACUACGUG